GCUCCUGUAGCUCAGUCGGUAGAGCGUUUCCAUGGUAAGGAAGAGGUCGCAGGUUCGAUUCCUGUCGGGAGCAC
This 74-nucleotide transfer RNA is filed under the name Brevibacillus laterosporus. RNAcentral describes it as "tRNA-Thr". It matches the Rfam family "tRNA". Rfam says of the family: Transfer RNA (tRNA) molecules are approximately 80 nucleotides in length. Their secondary structure includes four short double-helical elements and three loops (D, anti-codon, and T loops). Lineage: Bacteria; Bacillati; Bacillota; Bacilli; Caryophanales; Paenibacillaceae. The record is from RNAcentral.